This is a non-coding RNA of Oryctolagus cuniculus (rabbit), 209 nucleotides long. The record is from RefSeq and is a predicted model, not a curated record. Lineage: Eukaryota; Metazoa; Chordata; Mammalia; Lagomorpha; Leporidae.
GUUCAAUUUAGGUAGGCUGCAUGUGUCCAGGAAUCUAUCCAUUUCUGAUAGGUUUCCCUGUUUGCUGGCAUACAAGUCCUUGUAGUAAUUUCUGAUGAUUCUUUUUAUUUCUGUGGUGUCUGUUGUUACAUUUCCUUUUUCAUCUCUGAUUUUAUUGAUUUGGGUCUUUUCUCUUCUUUUUUUAGUUAGUUGGGCCAAUGGGGUGUCAA